RNAcentral lists this ribosomal RNA (401 nucleotides) under uncultured fungus. RNAcentral's name for it is "SSU rRNA". It matches the Rfam family "Eukaryotic small subunit ribosomal RNA", at positions 555 to 961 of the family's 1831-position model. Lineage: Eukaryota; Fungi. The record is from RNAcentral.
GCAAGUCUGGUGCCAGCAGCCGCGGUAAUUCCAGCUCCAAUAGCGUAUAUUAAAGUUGUUGCAGUUAAAAAGCUCGUAGUUGAACCUUGGGUCUGGCUGGCCGGUCCGCCUCACCGCGUGUACUGGUCCGGCCGGACCUUUCCUUCUGGGGAAUCGCAUGCCCUUCACUGGGUGUGUCGAGGGUCCAGGACUUUUACUUUGAAAAAAUUAGAGUGUUCAAAGCAGGCCUAUGCUCGAAUACAUUAGCAUGGAAUAAUAGAAUAGGACGUGUGGUUCUAUUUUGUUGGUUUCUAGGACCGCCGUAAUGAUUAAUAGGGAUAGUCGGGGGCAUCAGUAUUCAAUUGUCAGAGGUGAAAUUCUUGGAUUUAUUGAGGACUAACUACUGCGAAAGCAUUUGCCAA